CCAUACCACCCUGAACGCACCGGGAUCUUGUCUGAUCUCAGAAGCCAAACAGCGUUGGGCCUGGUGAGUACUUGGAUGGG
This 80-nucleotide ribosomal RNA is filed under the name Ailuropoda melanoleuca (giant panda). The record is from RNAcentral. Lineage: Eukaryota; Metazoa; Chordata; Mammalia; Carnivora; Ursidae.